CAGUCGAACGAUGAUGCCCAGCUUGCUGGGUGGAUUAGUGGCGAACGGGUGAGUAACACGUGAGUAACCUGCCCCUGACUCUGGGAUAAGCGUUGGAAACGACGUCUAAUACUGGAUAUGAUCACUGGCCGCAUGGUCUGGUGGUGGAAAGAUUUUUUGGUUGGGGAUGGACUCGCGGCCUAUCAGCUUGUUGGUGAGGUAAUGGCUCACCAAGGCGACGACGGGUAGCCGGCCUGAGAGGGUGACCGGCCACACUGGGACUGAGACACGGCCCAGACUCCUACGGGAGGCAGCAGUGGGGAAUAUUGCACAAUGGGCGAAAGCCUGAUGCAGCAACGCCGCGUGAGGGAUGACGGCCUUCGGGUUGUAAACCUCUUUUAGUAGGGAAGAAGCGAAAGUGACGGUACCUGCAGAAAAAGCACCGGCUAACUACGUGCCAGCAGCCGCGGUAAUACGUAGGGUGCAAGCGUUGUCCGGAAUUAUUGGGCGUAAAGAGCUCGUAGGCGGUUUGUCGCGUCUGCUGUGAAAUCCCGAGGCUCAACCUCGGGCUUGCAGUGGGUACGGGCAGACUAGAGUGCGGUAGGGGAGAUUGGAAUUCCUGGUGUAGCGGUGGAAUGCGCAGAUAUCAGGAGGAACACCGAUGGCGAAGGCAGAUCUCUGGGCCGUAACUGACGCUGAGGAGCGAAAGCAUGGGGAGCGAACAGGAUUAGAUACCCUGGUAGUCCAUGCCGUAAACGUUGGGCGCUAGAUGUAGGGACCUUUCCACGGUUUCUGUGUCGUAGCUAACGCAUUAAGCGCCCCGCCUGGGGAGUACGGCCGCAAGGCUAAAACUCAAAGGAAUUGACGGGGGCCCGCACAAGCGGCGGAGCAUGCGGAUUAAUUCGAUGCAACGCGAAGAACCUUACCAAGGCUUGACAUACACCGGAAACGGCCAGAGAUGGUCGCCCCCUUGUGGUCGGUGUACAGGUGGUGCAUGGUUGUCGUCAGCUCGUGUCGUGAGAUGUUGGGUUAAGUCCCGCAACGAGCGCAACCCUCGUUCUAUGUUGCCAGCGGGUUAUGCCGGGGACUCAUAGGAGACUGCCGGGGUCAACUCGGAGGAAGGUGGGGAUGACGUCAAAUCAUCAUGCCCCUUAUGUCUUGGGCUUCACGCAUGCUACAAUGGCCGGUACAAAGGGCUGCGAUACCGUAAGGUGGAGCGAAUCCCAAAAAGCCGGUCUCAGUUCGGAUUGAGGUCUGCAACUCGACCUCAUGAAGUCGGAGUCGCUAGUAAUCGCAGAUCAGCAACGCUGCGGUGAAUACGUUCCCGGGCCUUGUACACACCGCCCGUCAAGUCAUGAAAGUCGGUAACACCCGAAGCC
RNAcentral lists this ribosomal RNA (1358 nucleotides) under Curtobacterium pusillum. Its description in RNAcentral is "bacterial SSU rRNA". It matches the Rfam family "Bacterial small subunit ribosomal RNA", at positions 59 to 1428 of the family's 1533-position model. The record is from RNAcentral. Lineage: Bacteria; Bacillati; Actinomycetota; Actinomycetes; Micrococcales; Microbacteriaceae.